RNAcentral lists this ribosomal RNA (654 nucleotides) under uncultured fungus. RNAcentral describes it as "eukaryotic LSU rRNA". The stretch from base 194 to 348 matches the Rfam family "5.8S ribosomal RNA". The record is from RNAcentral. Lineage: Eukaryota; Fungi.
UCCGUAGGUGAACCUGCGGAAGGAUCAUUAAUGAAUUCGGGCGCUCGACUCUGAAAUAUUGAGAUCGGCCCCAUUUCUUAAUCCACUUCACACUUGUGCACAUUUUUCCUACUUUCCUUCGGGAGAGUUUGAAAAGCUCUUGUGAUUUUAAUCAAGUCCAGGAUGUGAAUCCAAUUUGAAUAAGUUGUAAAACAACUACAAACGGUGGAUCUCUUGGCUCUCGUAUCGAUGAAGAACGCAGCGAAACGCGAAAUGUAAUGUGAAUUGCAGAAUUCAGUGAAUCAUCGAAUCUUUGAACGCAUCUUGCACUCUCGAAUCACUAUCGAGAGUAUGCCUGUUUGAGUGUCGCGAAACUCUCAACCCCGCCUCAUGCUUUAUUGCGUGUGGGUAGCUUGGGCUUGGAUCAUGAUCUUUGCAGUAAUGCGCUAGCAGAACUGCUGGAUUGAAAUACAACAAGCUGAAUCUAUAUACUUGCGGCUUGACCUGUCGUUGUAAGCACACAAAUGCAUUCGAUGGGGACGCGAGAAAAUGGAAUGAGCUUUCCAAAUGUGUUACACUUUGCAGCUUCUAUUAACUUAGAGCUCUUAGUGCAUUCUGACCUCAAAUCAGGUAGGAUUACCCGCUGAACUUAAGCAUAUCAAUAAGCGGAGGAAA